UUCCUACGGGACGCAGCAGUGGGGAAUAUUGCACAAUGGGGGAAACCCUGAUGCAGCAACGCCGCGUGAGUGAGGAAGUAUUUCGGUAUGUAAAGCUCUAUCAGCAGGGAAUAGAAAAGAAGGUACCUGAAAAAGAAGCCCCGGCUAACUACGUGCCAGCAGCCGCGGUAAUACGUAGGGGGCAAGCGUUAUCCGGAUUUAUUGGGUGUAAAGGGCGUGUAGGCGGGGGCGCAAGUCAGAUGUGAAAACUCAGGGAUCAACCCUGAGCAUGCAUUUGAAACUG
This 283-nucleotide ribosomal RNA is filed under the name uncultured bacterium. RNAcentral's name for it is "partial 16S ribosomal RNA". It matches the Rfam family "Bacterial small subunit ribosomal RNA", at positions 336 to 635 of the family's 1533-position model. The record is from RNAcentral.